GAUGAACGCUGGCGGCGUGCUUAACACAUGCAAGUCGAACGAAGCACUUUAUUUGAUUUCCUUCGGGACUGAUUAUUUUGUGACUGAGUGGCGGACGGGUGAGUAACGCGUGGGUAACCUGCCUUGUACAGGGGGAUAACAGUUGGAAACGGCUGCUAAUACCGCAUAAGCGCACGGCAUCGCAUGAUGCAGUGUGAAAAACUCCGGUGGUAUAAGAUGGACCCGCGUUGGAUUAGCUAGUUGGUGAGGUAACGGCCCACCAAGGCGACGAUCCAUAGCCGACCUGAGAGGGUGACCGGCCACAUUGGGACUGAGACACGGCCCAAACUCCUACGGGAGGCAGCAGUGGGGAAUAUUGCACAAUGGGCGAAAGCCUGAUGCAGCGACGCCGCGUGAGCGAAGAAGUAUUUCGGUAUGUAAAGCUCUAUCAGCAGGGAAGAUAAUGACGGUACCUGGCUAAGAAGCACCGGCUAAAUACGUGCCAGCCGCCGCCGUAA
RNAcentral lists this ribosomal RNA (497 nucleotides) under uncultured bacterium. RNAcentral's name for it is "partial 16S ribosomal RNA". It matches the Rfam family "Bacterial small subunit ribosomal RNA", at positions 28 to 523 of the family's 1533-position model. The record is from RNAcentral.